CAACCUGCUAUAAAAACAUAAGAAGAAGAAGAAGAAGAAGAUCCACACUUCCGGGUGGUGAUGACGUCGCGUCGGGACGUCAUAUUUCAAAAUGGCAGAGCCCGCGGAAAGACCCCCUGGAGUCGACUCCAUUUCCCAAGAAAAGAUGUCAACAGCGCGACUUGUAACAAUUAUAAGGCCGAGGAGGGUUAUUUGAACACACACCAUUCAAUUAUUAUAAAUGAAAGUCACGUUUUUUAACCGCUCCGGUCUCGUCCCAGCGGAAGUGACGCUAGCACGUCAUCAGAAUACAACAGAUCAACACGACGAGAGAGACAUUCUGCCGCUAGACAAAGGUCACCGAGCAGCGACGAAGUUUGCAUUUUCGGUAGAGGUCCAGGGAGCCACGAGGGCGGUGCUAAAGAGACGCGGGUUGCUGACCCCCGGCCUACACCCUAGACUGGCCGCCAGUUCAUCACAGGACACAUGAACAAGCCUUCGCUCUCAAAUCAGAGAAGUAUUCAUUUACUCUAACAUGAUUUUUAUUCAGUUCAAUGCAUUUAUUGUCAUUGUCAUAGUGAAUAACACACACACUGCAUAGUAACCAUGUAGCAAAAAUGCGUUAGGUGGUGCAAUCCUGACCCAUGAAACGCGUAAACACAAAGGGUGCCACGAACGAUGCACAAAAUUCACAGUCUGGUAUGGAUCGGUACUCGAGCGGCGCCGUUCGAUACAUUUUUUCAAUACCCAAAAGAGGGAAAUGUUCAUGCCUUUUUUUUAACUUGUAGUUUAUUGAAAUUGUCGUUGUCCACGACAGAAAACGGUCGGCAAGGCGAGUUUAUUUACAGAGCACAGUUCGUACUACAGGCAGGCCAGUCUAGUACCCGCACUCUUUUACUACGAAGCCACGCUGUUGUAACACGUGCAGAAUGUGGCUCGGCGAUAUCUUACUGAAAUAAGCAGGGGCGGCCAUGAAAAAGACGUCGCUUGGAUGGCAACUUUUGUUGCUCCAAAACCUGUAUGUACCUUUCAGCAUUAAUGGUGCCUUCACAAACGUGUAAGUUACCCACUAAUACACCCCCAUAUCAUCAAUCUUUAUUGCAGACCUUAAGAUCCAUUUAAACAUAUAAAAACAGAAUAUAAUACAUUAAAAAACAAAACAAUAAAAACAUACAUUAAAAACAAAACAAGUUUUCCAUACAAUUACAGACGCUGGGUUUUCAACUUUGCGCCUAGAACAAUCCGGAUGGUUCUUUUCCUCUUUGGACCGGAGGACACGACGUCCACAGUUUCCAAAAACAAUUUGAAAUGUGGACUUGUCAGACCACAGAACACUUUUCCAGUUUGCAUCAGUACAUCUUAGAUGAGCUCGGGCCGAGCGAAGCCGGCGGCGUUUCUGGGUGUUGUUGAUAAAUGGCAUUCGCUUUGCAUUGUAGAGUUUUAACUUGCACUUACAGAUGUAGCGACCAACUGUAGUUACUGACAGUGGUUUUCUGAAGUGUUCCUGAGUCCAUGUGGUGAUAUCCUUUACACACUGAUGUCGCUUUUUGAUGCAGUACCAACACAAAUACAACUUUGAAACUACGUGCUUUCUGAGAAGAUUACCGUAGUAACUAGUAUAUCAUGCAAAAGCGCAGAUUCCAACCAAUCAGUCCAUCUUAGAUGAGCUCGGGCCGAGCGAAGCCAGCGGCGUUUCUGGGUGUUGUUGCAUUUAUCAACAACACCCAGAAACGCAGAGUUUUGAGGACGAAAAUGAAUUGAUACCAUUUUAGAAUAAGGCUGUAACAUAGCAAAAUGUGGCAAAAAAUGAAGCGCUGUGAAUACUUUCCGGAUGCAGUGUACAGUAUAAAGGGCAGAUCAAUAGAAGUGAUAAUUAGACGUUGCAGUUCAUGGGUGGGAUGUGAGAGAGGGUCACUGCCUGAGGAUACAGACGAGCUGUUGGCAAGUUGUCCUGGCACGUAUAGACCUGUUCCUUCUACCUGAGGGCCGCAGGUGAGGAGCAGGGUGUUGUUGGUCACGCAGGAUGCUGUGCACUCGCCUCAGACAGCAGGUAGUGUAGACUGUGCCCAUCUCUGGAAGACUUGAUUUUUUUUCAGCUCUUUUAAUCACCGAUUAGAGAGUCUGCUGUCAUGGCACACUUAUAAAAGCUCACUCUUACACUAGGAAGCGGAGUCAUUCAUUGCGCUUUACCUGACACAUGAAACGUGACAAAUACGAUCGCUGAGAUGAAACGGAUCAGGCCCGUGAACAGGUUCUAUCCGGAUGAAUUUGCUAAGUAUACAAAUGAGCUGAAAUUUUUGUAUGAAAGAAACUGCUGUUUUAAAUGUGUCCACUAGAUGUGGCAAUGGCAAUUCUUUGUAUCUUUGUAGAUGAUGCUACAUACAGUAUGUACAAAAAAAAUAAAACACAUGAUGUUAGUGCAACAGUCGAAGAAAAUUAGCAAACUACAUAAAUAACAUCCUGUAAUUUGAUUUUGAUAUUUUUUUUUUAAUCUUGUUAGAUUGAAAAUGAACACCAAUGAGUUGACUGAUGAACAUUAUCACGUCAUUUAUUCAGAAAGUAUAAAUAACGACAAUUAAAGGUAGAACACUAUUAACUGCAACAUGUAAGUGUAAAAAAACAACAUGAUUUGUUUAUUUUUGAGAAAUUCUAUUUUUAAACAAAGAAAACAAUCUGAAGUUGUCUUUAUUUUUAAGUUAUCGUGCCGUGAUUUUACCAGUCCGGCCCACUUGGGAGUAGAUUUUUCUCAAUGUGGCCCCCGAUCUAAAAUGAGUUUGACACCUCUGGCCUAGAUAAAUUGGUAAACAUCCUCACAAAUAUUGAUAUAAAGCAUUACCGUAUUUUCCGGACCAUAGGGCACACCGGAUUAUAAGGAGCACUGCCGAUGAAUGGUCUAUUUUUGAUCUUUUUUUCAUAUAUAAGGCGCACCGGAUUAUAAGGCGCAUUAAAGGAGUCAUAAUAUAUAUAUUUUUUUCUAAAUGUAAAAGACUUCCUUGGGGUCUACAUAACAUGUAAUGGUGGUUCUUUGCUCAAAAUGUUGCAUAGAUGAUGUUUUACACAUCAUCUUCAAGCCGCUUCCGGGUGCGCCGUUUUGUGGGCGGUCUUAUUUACGUGGCUCACCUUCGGCAGCGUCUUCUCCCCGUCAUCUUUGUUGUGAAGUGUCAAAAGAUGGAGCUAACUGUUUUAAUGACAUUCAGACUUUACUUCAAUCAAUAACGGAGCAGCAUCUCCUCAUCCAGAAACAACAACACCAGAAAUGUGUCCCGUGAAAAACCGUCCGACCAGAACUCUAAUAACUAAAGUUCCUUGGGUGAAUAAUGAAAUGGCAACAGCAGAGGAUGGAUGUCCCAUAACAAGAAGGUGGAGAAAAGGAAGAAGCUUAUCGACUACGGUGUCGGCACGGACUACAAAGGCGG
This is a long non-coding RNA of Entelurus aequoreus (snake pipefish), 3395 nucleotides long. RefSeq lists it as uncharacterized. NCBI's taxonomy places the organism in Eukaryota, Metazoa, Chordata, Actinopteri, Syngnathiformes, Syngnathidae. The transcript has 4 exons. The record is from RefSeq and is a predicted model, not a curated record.